Molecule: long non-coding RNA, 1807 nt
Filed under: Homo sapiens (human)
Lineage: Eukaryota; Metazoa; Chordata; Mammalia; Primates; Hominidae
Description: non-protein coding lnc-FOXD2-6:1
Source: RNAcentral
UGGGAGCUACCAAUGGUGUUUGGUCUGAGGGUGCCAUGCUGGGAGUGGGUUUUCAGGAAGGCACCUCUGGUACAUGGGAAGGUGGGAGGGUGGGUGUGAAUCUGAGACUCAGGUCGGGGGUGCAAGCUUGAUUUCUCUCCUCCUUUGGGUGAGAGAGGUGUGUACAAGUGUGAGGCUGUGUGUGCAUGUGAACAAGAGGACAUCUCUUGCAAUGUGUGUGAAGCUGAGUGUGGGUGAGUGUGAGAUUGUGUGAGGCCUCUGUGCAUGAGCAUGAAACGGCACAGCAAUGACAGGGGGUGUGUGUGUGUGUGUGUGUGAGUGAGUCUGUGAGGUGAAGGUGAGUGUGCUUGUGUAACUUUAGUGUGUGUGUGCCUGUGGGGUGAAGGGGUGUGUGUGUGUGUGCCUGUGGGGUGAAGGGGUGUGUGUGUGUGUGUGUAACUGUAGUAGGUGGGUGUGUGUGAGCCUGUGAGAUGAAGGUGAGUGUGCAUGUGUAACUGUGUUGUGUGUGUAGUGUGUGAGUCUGUGAGGUGAAGGUGAGUGUGCGUGUGUAACUGUUGUGUGUGUGUAGUGUGUGUGUGAAUCUGAGGUGAAGGUGAGUGUGCAUGUGUAACUGUUGUGUGUGUGUAGUGUGUGUCUAUGAGAUGGUGAGUGUGCGUGUGUAACUGUGUUGUGUGUGUCUAUGAGGUGAAGGUGAGUGUGCGUGUGUAACUGUGUGUUGUGUAUGAGUCUAUGAGAUGAAGGUGAGUGUGCGUGUGUAACUGUGUUGUGCGUGUUGUGUGUGUCUGUGAGGUGAAGGUGAGUGCGCAUGUGCGUGUGUAACUGUGUUGUGUGUGUGAGUCUAUGAGAAGGUGAGGUGCAUGUGUCACUCUGUGUAGUGUGUGAGUCUAUGAGAUGAAGGUGAGUGUGCACAACUGUGUGUUGUGUGUGUGUAGUGUGUGUGUCUAUGAGAUGAAGGUGAGUGUGCGUGUGUAACUGUGUGUUGUGUGUGUAGUGUGUGAGAGAGUCUGAGAUGAAGGUGAGUGUGCAUAACUGUGUUGUGUGUGUAGUGUGUGUGAGUCUGAGGUGAAGGUGAGUGUGCGUGUGUAACUGUGUUGUGUGUGUAAUGUGCGUGUGGGUCUGUGAGGUGAAAGUGUGUUUGCGUGUGUAACUGCAUGGUGUGUGUGCGUGAGAUUCUGUGUUGUGUGUGCACAGCCAGCAGCAUGUAGAGGCAGGGAGGCCUGGUGGAGCACACCUGCUUCCCGGUGACUCCAAGUCUUCCCAAGGGUUUUCUUCCUUUGAAGUGGGCGGCAGGAAGGAGGGGCACUGAGAGCUGGCAGUGAGGGGCCAGCUCAGAACCCAGAAGCCCUUUUCAGGGGAUCGAGCAUCUGGGCCGCAGAGGCCCUCGGAGAUCCUGCUGCCCAGCUACAGCUCACCUGCAGCGCCUGCAAUGCCGUCGGGGCUGAACAGGCCAGUGCUGUAGCUGCCUCCCCGCCAAGGCCUCUGCCUGCUGCACCUGCUGCCCUGACCUGUGUGCUCCCUAUUGUAGCUGAGCCCAGGACUGGGGCAAAGAGGCUAGGAAAACCUUGCCAGGUGAGCAGUUUUUGGAGCUGGCACAGUGCUCAAAAUAAAAUGAAACAAAACCUGGACUGGAACUCAGGAGUCGUGGGCCUGUCGCAGACCUGCUGGUGAUCUUGAGUAAGCCCCUUGCCCACUCUGGGUGCCGAAUGGAUGAGCCUGGAUGCCCUCUCAAGAUCAAAGGGAACGAUGAGGCCUGUCUGAUCUCCCAGCUUCAGAGGCAAAGUCCUGUGACCCAUUGAAAGUAAUUUUA